RNAcentral lists this ribosomal RNA (491 nucleotides) under uncultured bacterium. RNAcentral describes it as "bacterial SSU rRNA". It matches the Rfam family "Bacterial small subunit ribosomal RNA", at positions 903 to 1397 of the family's 1533-position model. The record is from RNAcentral.
AAAGGAAUAGACGGGGGCCCGCACAAGCAGUGGAGUAUGUGGUUUAAUUCGAAGCAACGCGAAGAACCUUACCAGGUCUUGACAUCCAACUAACGAGAUAGAGAUAUGUCAGGUGCCCUUCGGGGAAAGUUGAGACAGGUGGUGCAUGGUUGUCGUCAGCUCGUGUCGUGAGAUGUUGGGUUAAGUCCCGCAACGAGCGCAACCCUUGCUAUUAGUUGCUACGCAAGAGCACUCUAAUAGGACUGCCGUUGACAAAACGGAGGAAGGUGGGGACGACGUCAAAUCAUCAUGCCCCUUAUGACCUGGGCUACACACGUACUACAAUGGACGUCAACAGAGGGAAGCAAAACAGCGAUGUGGAGCAAACCCCUAAAAACGUUCUCAGUUCAGAUUGCAGGCUGCAACCCGCCUGCAUGAAGUCGGAAUUGCUAGUAAUCGCGGAUCAGCAUGCCGCGGUGAAUACGUUCCCGGGCCUUGUACACACCGCCCGU